This 254-nucleotide ribosomal RNA is filed under the name uncultured bacterium. RNAcentral describes it as "partial 16S ribosomal RNA". It matches the Rfam family "Bacterial small subunit ribosomal RNA", at positions 524 to 776 of the family's 1533-position model. The record is from RNAcentral.
UACAGAGGUCUCAAGCGUUGUUCGGAUUUACUGGGCGUAAAGGGCGCGUAGGCGGUCGUGACAAGUCACUUGUGAAAUCUCCGGGCUUAACUCGGAACGGUCAAGUGAUACUGUCGGACUAGAGUACAGAAGGGGCAACUGGAAUUCUCGGUGUAGCGGUGAAAUGCGUAGAUAUCGAGAGGAACACCUGCGGCGAAGGCGGGUUGCUGGGCUGAUACUGACGCUGAGGCGCGAAAGCUAGGGGAGCGAACGGG